CCUACGGGUGGCAGCAGUAGGGAAUGUUCGUCAAUGGGCGCAAGCCUGAACGAGCAAUGCCGCGUGAACGAGGAAGGUCUUCGGAUCGUAAAGUUCUGUUGAAGGGGAAAAAGAGCGGAGAGAGGAAAUGGUCGCCGAUGGAGAUUACCCGACGAGGAAGGCACGGCUAACGACGUGCCAGCAGCCGCGGUAAUACGUAGGUGGCGAGCGUUAUCCGGAAUGAUUGGGCGUAAAGGGUGCGUAGGCGGCCUGCUAAGUCUGGAGUUAAAGGUACCGGCUCAACCGGUACAGGCUCUGGAAACUGGCGGGCUCGAGUGCCGGAGAGGGCGGUGGAACUCCAUGUGUAGCGGUCACAUGCGUAGAUAUCUGGAAGAACACCAGUGGCGAAGGCGGCCGCCUGGCCUGUUACUGACGCUGAGGCACGAACGCGUGGGGAGCAAAUAGGAUUAGAUACCCGAGUAGUC
Molecule: ribosomal RNA, 464 nt
Filed under: uncultured bacterium
Lineage: Bacteria
Description: partial 16S ribosomal RNA
Rfam family: Bacterial small subunit ribosomal RNA
Source: RNAcentral